RNAcentral lists this ribosomal RNA (27 nucleotides) under Austropallene cornigera. RNAcentral describes it as "partial 28S ribosomal RNA". The record is from RNAcentral. Lineage: Eukaryota; Metazoa; Arthropoda; Pycnogonida; Pantopoda; Callipallenidae.
GGCGACCUCAGUCGGGCGAGACUCACC